Molecule: transfer RNA, 64 nt
Filed under: Sciobius sp. SCI01
Lineage: Eukaryota; Metazoa; Arthropoda; Insecta; Coleoptera; Curculionidae
Description: tRNA-Trp
Source: RNAcentral
AAGGAUUUAAGUUAAUAUAAACUGUUGACCUUCAAAGUCAAAAAUAGAUUUUGUCUAAGCCUUA